This 2158-nucleotide long non-coding RNA is filed under the name Amazona collaria (yellow-billed parrot). RNAcentral's name for it is "lncRNA (ENSACOG00000006916.1)". Lineage: Eukaryota; Metazoa; Chordata; Aves; Psittaciformes; Psittacidae. The record is from RNAcentral.
GUAGGAAACAAGCGAGCACUGGAAAAUCCCCUUUGCUUUCUGGCUCCAUGACUGACAGAGGUUGAGGUAUGCAGGGUUUGAUUUACAGCUACUCUGGGAAGCUGGGAAAUCUGACAAAGAUAGUGCUGCCCACUAACAUUAGGGGAAACAGGAAGUUACAAAGGAAACAAGUCAUUGCCUAGGCGUCACUUUUGGCCACGGUGCAGUGCAGAUGCACAGGCAGUUGGGGCAGGGUUUCUUUUGUGUGUUGAGUGUACAGCAGCUACCACAGUCACUUUCAACCUUACAGUACAUGGAAAGGGAAGAAGUGCAGAGAUGUUUCUGUCAUGCCUGAGAGGGGUCAGAAGUCGUUAAUGGCUUUGCCAUCACAAAGGAAACAAUCGUUCGGUGAAAUUGUCAGCAGAAAAAGUAUGUGUCGAUCAGGCAUGGUCACCAGGCAUAGAAUUGUCAUGGGGAUCAUCUGAGAAACAGUGAUGCGAGGCCUUUUGCUGUCUGCUGCCACCUCUUCUGGUUCAGAUGAUUCUGUUCAGUGCUGUUUCAGUGAGGGAGAAGGUUGAUUCAAGAGCCGCUUAUAAUGGGUUUUGGGGCUUGAUGGAAAGCAUACUUUAAAAAUACACAUCUAGUCCCUUGGUGAGUGGAAAGAAGAAUGAAGCAUGUAACUACUACUAGAAGCUUGCCCAAAAUAAUGCAUGGGUAAUAUCACUUUCUGUUUGUAACAGACGACCAGUGUCAGAAAGAGCAUGGCUUGGCUCUGAUUGCACUUAUUGGGCCCUUUCUGUUAACCUCAUUGUUAGCUCCAUGGAAAAGGCUCUGCUUAUGCACCUGGGGUGAAAACGUGUAGUGGGGUCUUUGGCUUGUGGUGCAGAAAUGUAACUGUGUAAGAAACAACUUGGAAAUAUCUUUCUGUUCGUAAUGAUCACAGAACCAACAGGCUCUACAAUGACUUCAGUGCUUGCUGUUGUUUAUACCUGGUAAUGCAACAUUGAUCUGCUCUUCAUGUAAUGCAUUACAAAAAAAUAUAAAAGGAAUAUCAAGAGUGGAAGGCAGAAUUUCAGUGAGCUAAAGGCAACAUAUUGUACGUGCUAAGACCAGAAAAGUCUUUAAAAGCAUCCAUUUUCCUUCCUCCCACUCCUACUAUAAAGUUUCUGGGGUUAUACUGUUUUGACAGCUUUCUUCCAGCAGCUUGAGACAAAGUAGUGUCCUUCUGGAGUUGUAGUGUCAAGAAAAGAGUAAAAAUCUGCUUAGGACUAGGUUCAAAGUACUUAAAUGGAUUUUAGCAGCCUACCUCAAACAUUUCAAUUCAAAAUACUAAAGUCUUCCUUAUCUGUCUACAAUGUGUCUGCAAAUGAAAGCGCUUGAGGAGCCUACAGAUGUGAUGGGGAGUACCAUAAGCCCCAGUGAGUUCCAGAAAAUAGGCAUAAGAGGUUGUUAAUCUAUUGAAAAGCCUUGUGUAUUAGGUGGGCUUUUUAGCUCAUAUAAUGCGCAUUUGGUUGCGUGGAGUUCAGCUAUGUGUCCUUUUAUUCACUUAGCAGGGAUGGGGAAGUUCUCCAUUGGUCUCUAUUCUCAGGAUUGUUUUAUAGUGAGUAGUCAAAAAUAAGAAAUGAUUAUGAAUAGAGGAAGCAGAACCUCAUACUCUGCUGUUGUUUCCCCUUGGUAGUCAUCACACUGUAGAACUGGAUUUGUUCCCCCCCCUCUGUCUGCUCCUCUGCUUCCAUGAUUUGGUUGGGCUUUUUUUCUGUCUGCCUGAUAUUCUGGCUGCCUGAUAUUCUGGCUUUUCAGGAGGAGGAGAAAAUGCCCCAUCCAGGCAUGCUUUAGUGAGUAGCCUAACUAGUCUACCCCUGUACAGAAGGCCAACAUGACCUAGUCAGAUAUUUCUGUUCUAUGUAUUUACCUAGGGUGGGAUACCCUUGUCCCCAGUGUUUGUCAUUGGCCUCCCUGAAAUCUCAGCUUACUGCUUGUUUUGGAUAACCUCACUGAGGCAUUUAACUCUGCCUCUGCUGGUCUGUAUUCAACCUAAGUAUGGAACACUGAAGGCUAGGUGCUUGAGUUCCUUCUUAUCCUUUGUAGUAAACACACAAAGGAUUUGAAGACCCAUGAUGAACUUGAAACUAUUGGAUAGCAUUGAGACUAAUGUUAAAGUUAGUUUAAGAAAACUGAC